UGGGGAAUAUUGGACAAUGGGCGCAAGCCUGAUCCAGCCAUGCCGCGUGAGUGAUGAAGGCCCUAGGGUUGUAAAGCUCUUUCACCGGUGAAGAUAAUGACGGUAACCGGAGAAGAAGCCCCGGCUAACUUCGUGCCAGCAGCCGCGGUAAUACGAAGGGGGCUAGCGUUGUUCGGAUUACUGGGCGUAAAGCGCACGUAGGCGGACUAUUAAGUCAGGGGUGAAAUCCCGGGGCUCAACCCCGGAACUGCCUUUGAUACUGGUAGUCUUGAGUUCGAGAGAGGUGAGUGGAAUUCCGAGUGUAGAGGUGAAAUUCGUAGAUAUUCGGAGGAACACCAGUGGCGAAGGCGGCUCACUGGCUCGAUACUGACGCUGAGGUGCGAAAGCGUGGGGAGCAAACAGG
Molecule: ribosomal RNA, 403 nt
Filed under: Actinomycetes bacterium
Lineage: Bacteria; Bacillati; Actinomycetota; Actinomycetes
Description: Actinobacteria bacterium partial 16S ribosomal RNA
Rfam family: Bacterial small subunit ribosomal RNA
Source: RNAcentral